AACAGGAUUAGAUACCCUGGUAGUCCACGCCGUAAACGAUGUCUACUAGCUGUUCGUGUCCUUGUGAUGUGAGUAGCGCAGCUAACGCACUAAGUAGACCGCCUGGGGAGUACGGUCGCAAGAUUAAAACUCAAAUGAAUUGACGGGGGCCCGCACAAGCGGUGGAGCAUGUGGUUUAAUUCGACGCAACGCGAAGAACCUUACCUACUCUUGACAUCUACGGAAGACUGCAGAGAUGCGGUUGUGCCUUCGGGAACCGUAAGACAGGUGCUGCAUGGCUGUCGUCAGCUCGUGUUGUGAAAUGUUGGGUUAAGUCCCGCAACGAGCGCAACCCCUAUCCUUAGUUGCCAGCGAGUUAAGUCGGGAACUCUAGGGAGACUGCCGGUGAUAAACCGGAGGAAGGUGGGGACGACGUCAAGUCAUCAUGGCCCUUACGAGUAGGGCUACACACGUGCUACAAUGGUACGUACAGAGGGAGGCAAGCUGGCGACAGUGAGCGGAUCUCUUAAAGCGUAUCGUAGUCCGGAUCGCAGUCUGCAACUCGACUGCGUGAAGUCGGAAUCGCUAGUAAUCGCAAAUCAGAAUGUUGCGGUGAAUACGUUCCCGGGCCUUGUACACACCGCCCGUCACACCAUGGGAGUGGGUUGCAAAAGAAGUAGGUAGCUUAACCUUAAGGAGGGCGCUUACCACUUUGUGAUUCAUGACUGGGGUGAAGUCGUAACAAGGUAACC
This 731-nucleotide ribosomal RNA is filed under the name uncultured bacterium. RNAcentral describes it as "bacterial SSU rRNA". It matches the Rfam family "Bacterial small subunit ribosomal RNA", at positions 771 to 1501 of the family's 1533-position model. The record is from RNAcentral.